RNAcentral lists this ribosomal RNA (460 nucleotides) under uncultured bacterium. RNAcentral describes it as "partial 16S ribosomal RNA". It matches the Rfam family "Bacterial small subunit ribosomal RNA", at positions 338 to 795 of the family's 1533-position model. The record is from RNAcentral.
CCUACGGGAGGCAGCAGUGAGGAAUAUUGGUCAAUGGCCGUAAGGCUGAACCAGCCAAGUAGCGUGAGGGAAGACUGCCCUAUGGGUUGUAAACCUCUUUUAUGCGGGGAUAAAGGUGACCACGCGUGGAUGUUUGCAGGUACCGCAUGAAUAAGGACCGGCUAAUUCCGUGCCAGAAGCCGCGGUAAUACGGAAGUGACGGGCGUUAUCCGGAUUUAUUGGGUUUAAAGGGAGCGUAGGCCGGUCUUUAGGCUGGCCGGGAAAUUUUGUGGCUCAACCAUGGGAGUGCGGCGCGAAGUGGAGACCUUGAGUGCGCGGAAGGCAGGCGGAAUUCGUGGUGUAGCGGUGAAAUGCUGAGAUAUCACGAAGAACCCCGAUUGCGAAGGCAGCCUGCCGCAGCGUUACUGACGCUGAAGCUCGAAAGCGCGGGUAUCGAACAGGAUUAGAUACCCGGGUAGUC